CGCGGCCUAUCAGCUUGUUGGUGAGGUAAUGGCUCACCAAGGCGACGACGGGUAGCCGGCCUGAGAGGGCGACCGGCCACACUGGGACUGAGACACGGCCCAGACUCCUACGGGAGGCAGCAGUGGGGAAUAUUGCACAAUGGGCGAAAGCCUGAUGCAGCGACGCCGCGUGAGGGAUGACGGCCUUCGGGUUGUAAACCUCUUUCAGCAGGGAAGAAGCGAAAGUGACGGUACCUGCAGAAGAAGCGCCGGCUAACUACGUGCCAGCAGCCGCGGUAAUACGUAGGGCGCAAGCGUUGUCCGGAAUUAUUGGGCGUAAAGAGCUCGUAGGCGGUCUGUCGCGUCGGAUGUGAAAGCCCGGGGCUUAACCCCGGGUCUGCAUUCGAUACGGGCAGACUAGAGUGUGGUAGGGGAGAUCGGAAUUCCUGGUGUAGCGGUGAGAUGCGCAGAUAUCAGGAGGAACACCGGUGGCGAAGGCGGAUCUCUGGGCCAUUACUGACGCUGAGGAGCGAAAGCGUGGGGAGCGAACAGGAUUAGAUACCCUAGUAGUCCACGCCGUAAACGGUGGGAACUAGGUGUUGGCGACAUUCCACGUCGUCGGUGCCGCAGCUAACGCAUUAAGUUCCCCGCCUGGGGAGUACGG
This 643-nucleotide ribosomal RNA is filed under the name uncultured bacterium. Its description in RNAcentral is "bacterial SSU rRNA". It matches the Rfam family "Bacterial small subunit ribosomal RNA", at positions 232 to 885 of the family's 1533-position model. The record is from RNAcentral.